GCUACUUGGGGGCGAGCGGCUGGGGGAAUCGGGAGGGGGCAAGAUGUUGGCGGAAUGAGUGUGCGUAAAGAUCUCUGAGGGGGCUUGUUGUGUCGGAGGGGAAAGCCCGGGGAUUAACCCAGUGACUGCAUUGGAUACGAGCAGGCUAUAGUUGGGUAUGGGAGAGCGGAAUUCCUGGUGUAGCGGUGAAAUGCGCAGAUAUCAGGAGGAACACCAGUGGCGAAGGCGGAUCUCUGGGCCGAUACUGACGCUGAGGAGCGAAAGCGUGGGGAGCGAACAGGAUUAGAUACCCCUGUAGUC
RNAcentral lists this ribosomal RNA (300 nucleotides) under uncultured Denitratisoma sp. RNAcentral describes it as "bacterial SSU rRNA". The stretch from base 52 to 300 matches the Rfam family "Bacterial small subunit ribosomal RNA", at positions 547 to 795 of the family's 1533-position model. The record is from RNAcentral. Lineage: Bacteria; Pseudomonadati; Pseudomonadota; Betaproteobacteria; Nitrosomonadales; Sterolibacteriaceae.